GACGAACGCUGGCGGCGUGCCUAAUACAUGCAAGUCGAGCGGACAGGCGGGAGCUUGCUCCCUGAUGUUAGCGGCGGACGGGUGAGUAACACGUGGGUAACCUGCCUGUAAGACUGGGAUAACUCCGGGAAACCGGGGCUAAUACCGGAUGGUUGUCUGAACCGCAUGGUUCAGACAUAAAAGGUGGCUUCGGCUACCACUUACAGAUGGACCCGCGGCGCAUUAGCUAGUUGGUGAGGUAACGGCUCACCAAGGCAACGAUGCGUAGCCGACCUGAGAGGGUGAUCGGCCACACUGGGACUGAGACACGGCCCAGACUCCUACGGGAGGCAGCAGUAGGGAAUCUUCCGCAAUGGACGAAAGUCUGACGGAGCAACGCCGCGUGAGUGAUGAAGGUUUUCGGAUCGUAAAGCUCUGUUGUUAGGGAAGAACAAGUGCCGUUCAAAUAGGGCGGCACCUUGACGGUACCUAACCAGAAAGCCACGGCUAACUACGUG
Molecule: ribosomal RNA, 497 nt
Filed under: uncultured bacterium
Lineage: Bacteria
Description: partial 16S ribosomal RNA
Rfam family: Bacterial small subunit ribosomal RNA
Source: RNAcentral